UACGUAGGGUCCAAGCGUUGUCCGGAUUUAUUGGGCGUAAAGAGCUCGUAGGCGGUUUGUUGCGUCGGCCGUGAAAACCUGCAGCUUAACUGUGGGCCUGCGGCCGAUACGGGCAGACUUGAGUUCGGUAGGGGAGACUGGAAUUCCGGGUGUAGCGGUGGAAUGCGUAGAGAUCCGGAAGAACACCGGAGGCGAAGGCGGCUUGCUGGGCGUUGUCUGACGCUGAGGCGCGAAAGCGUGGGGAGCGAACAGG
This 253-nucleotide ribosomal RNA is filed under the name uncultured bacterium. Its description in RNAcentral is "partial 16S ribosomal RNA". It matches the Rfam family "Bacterial small subunit ribosomal RNA", at positions 524 to 776 of the family's 1533-position model. The record is from RNAcentral.